UGGGGAAUAUUGCACAAUGGGCGAAAGCCUGAUGCAGCGACGCCGCGUGAGGGAUGACGGCCUUCGGGUUGUAAACCUCUUUCAGCAGGGACGAAGCGCAAGUGACGGUACCUGCAGAAGAAGCACCGGCUAACUACGUGCCAGCAGCCGCGGUAAUACGUAGGGUGCAAGCGUUGUCCGGAAUUACUGGGCGUAAAGAGUUCGUAGGCGGUUUGUCGCGUCGUUUGUGAAAACCAGCAGCUCAACUGCUGGCUUGCAGGCGAUACGGGCAGACUUGAGUACUGCAGGGGAGACUGGAAUUCCUGGUGUAGCGGUGAAAUGCGCAGAUAUCAGGAGGAACACCGGUGGCGAAGGCGGGUCUCUGGGCAGUAACUGACGCUGAGGAACGAAAGCGUGGGUAGCGAACAGGAUUAGAUACCCUGGUAGUCCACGCCGUAAACGGUGGGCGCUAGGUGUGGUUCCUUCCACGGAAUCCGUGCCGUAGCUAACGCAUUAAGCGCCCCGCCUGGGGAGUACGGCCGCAAGGCUAAAACUCAAAUGAAUUGACGGGGUCAUAGCUGUUUCCU
Molecule: ribosomal RNA, 566 nt
Filed under: uncultured bacterium
Lineage: Bacteria
Description: partial 16S ribosomal RNA
Rfam family: Bacterial small subunit ribosomal RNA
Source: RNAcentral